This is a long non-coding RNA of Pongo pygmaeus (Bornean orangutan), 897 nucleotides long. RefSeq lists it as uncharacterized. The record is from RefSeq and is a predicted model, not a curated record. NCBI's taxonomy places the organism in Eukaryota, Metazoa, Chordata, Mammalia, Primates, Hominidae. The transcript is spliced from 3 exons.
AUGCUCUUGAACCACUUGCUCCAGGCUGCUCCCACCCUGUGGAGUGUACUUUCGUUUAAGUUAACUCUCUGCUUUUGCUGCCUUGUUUUGUUUGUGUGUUUUGUCCAAUUCUUUGUUCAAAACGCCAGGAACCUGGGCAACUACCCUUAACUGUAACAUAUGUUGGGGAACCAGCCAGGAGACCACUAUGGGCAACUAUCCAUCAAUUCCACCUGAUUCCUCUAUGGGCAACUCUCCAUCUAUUUCACCUGGUACCCUGCUUGGCUACAUCCUCCACCAUUGAAAUCAACUUUACCCUGACAAUCUAAAGAGAAAAUAGACCAUCAAGCUUCAGAUGAUCCUGUGACAAGGUUUCCAGCCUAUUCCAAAUGAAGGCAGUACCUCUGGCCAUCAAGAAACUACCCAGUCUCCACUCGAUAGAUCAGGGCGGGAGUUCGGGGAUCCCCAACAGGUGGGGUCUGCGCCUCAAGUCAGCGUGACGCAGUUACAGAAGAAAGACCAUCAGUCACUCUGUCUCCCAUAAAGAUUUCUGGGGAUCAUGUCUCUCAGGGGGGAAAUGAGGCAGGAGAAUAGGGUCUGGAGGCAGGGAACCUAAGUUCGACGCAUGCUGACUGGAUAUCAGAGGCUACUCCCUUUCAACCCCUCCUUUUUCCACAUGGCAGUUGCUGCCUGGCAGUUGGAAAUGAAAGUACCUCGGAUUGGUUACCUCCCGCAACCAAUCAGACUGGUCGCGGGCCACUACUUUAUGUGCAUAGAGUGAACAGAUGGGAAACCCCUGGAGGAUAUCUAAACCCCAGAAAAUCCUGUAGCCCAGACUCUUGAGCCUCUUGCUCGAGCCCGCUCCCACCCGGUGGAGUGUACUUUCGUUUAAAAUGAAUCUCUGCUUUGGCUGCCUUG